RNAcentral lists this ribosomal RNA (253 nucleotides) under uncultured bacterium. RNAcentral describes it as "partial 16S ribosomal RNA". It matches the Rfam family "Bacterial small subunit ribosomal RNA", at positions 524 to 776 of the family's 1533-position model. The record is from RNAcentral.
UACAGAGGUGGCAAGCGUUGUUCGGAAUUACUGGGCGUAAAGGGCGCGUAGGCGGCCUUCUAAGUCAGACGUGAAAUCCCCAGGCUCAACCUGGGAACUGCGUCUGAUACUGGAUGGCUUGAAUCCGGGAGAGGGAUGCAGAAUUCCAGGUGUAGCGGUGAAAUGCGUAGAUAUCUGGAGGAAUACCGGUGGCGAAGGCGGCAUCCUGGACCGGCAUUGACGCUGAGGAGCGAAAGCCAGGGGAGCAAACGGG